AUCCAGCUGACUAGUCUCAAAUAGGACGAUAUGCAUGUCCUGGAU
This 45-nucleotide non-coding RNA is filed under the name Schistosoma curassoni. Lineage: Eukaryota; Metazoa; Platyhelminthes; Trematoda; Strigeidida; Schistosomatidae. The record is from RNAcentral.